AUCCCUUUUAGCUCAGUGGUCGAGUGUUGGCUUUGGAAGCCACAGGUCGGUGGUUUGAGCCCACCAGGGCACA
RNAcentral lists this transfer RNA (73 nucleotides) under Phytophthora infestans (potato late blight agent). RNAcentral describes it as "tRNA-Pro". The stretch from base 5 to 69 matches the Rfam family "tRNA". Rfam says of the family: Transfer RNA (tRNA) molecules are approximately 80 nucleotides in length. Their secondary structure includes four short double-helical elements and three loops (D, anti-codon, and T loops). The record is from RNAcentral. Lineage: Eukaryota; Oomycota; Peronosporomycetes; Peronosporales; Peronosporaceae.